GCCCUGCUGCCCUGUAGUCCUGCUGGGGUGCCAUACCUGUUGCCCUGACGCCCUGCAAGAUCUGCAGCCCUGCCUCCCUGCUGCCCUGUAGCAUUGCUGCCCUGCUGCCCUGCUGCUCUUCUGCCCUGCAACCCUGCCUACCUACUGCCUUGCAUCCCUGCCGCACUGUGAGGCUUGUAGCAUUGCCGCCCUACACCCUGAACCCUGCAGCCCUGGGAGGCCUGUAGCCCUGCAGCCCUGCUGCUCUUCAGCCCUUCUGCCCUGCUGUCCUGCAUCCCUGAUGCCCUGUUGCCAUGCAGCCCUCCGAGGCCUGCCACCCUUCCACCCUGCUGCCCUACCUCCCUGCAGCCCUGCCGCCCUGGUAGGCCUACAGCCAUGCCGCCCUGCUGCCUGGCCACUCAGUGACCCUGAGAGGCCUGCAGCCCUGCCGCAAUGCUUCCCUGCUGCCUUGCCACCCUGCUACCCUGCAGCCCUUCCAGCAUGCUUCUCUGCAGCCCUACUGCCCUGCUGCCCUGCAGCCCUGCUGCCCUGCAAGGCCUGCAGCCCGGUCACCAGUGUCACCCACCCGGCCUUUAAGGUUUCUGAGCAGACACUGGACCCUGACCUGACUGGACGCUGCCUCCUCCGGCUCCCUCUCACUUACAGAUUUUUUCAGGUGGUGUCAAUGAAGUAUGUUAGAGGGAAGAAACUACCUUGA
Molecule: long non-coding RNA, 697 nt
Filed under: Vulpes vulpes (red fox)
Lineage: Eukaryota; Metazoa; Chordata; Mammalia; Carnivora; Canidae
Description: lncRNA (ENSVVUG00000024435.1)
Source: RNAcentral